AGAGUUUGAUCCUGGCUCAGGUUGAACGCUGGCGGAGUGCCUAACACAUGCAAGUCGAACGAACCUUUGAAACUGAGACUUCGGUCAACGUUUCUUUUUGGUUAGUGGCGAACGGGUGAGGAAUACAUAGGUAACAUGCCCCUAAGUCUGGGAUAACUUCACGAAAGAGGAGCUAAUACCGGAUACACUUAUGAUGCAUAAGCAUUAUAAGGAAAGAUUUAUUGCUUAGGGAUUGGCUUAUGUCUGAUUAGCUUGUUGGUAGGGUAAUGGCCUACCAAGGCGACGAUCAGUAGCUGGUCUGAGAGGACGAACAGCCACACUGGGACUGAGACACGGCCCAGACUCCUACGGGAGGCAGCAGUGGGGAAUAUUGCGCAAUGGGGGAAACCCUGACGCAGCGACGCCGCGUGAGCGAUGAAGUCUUUAGGGAUGUAAAGCUCUGUCAAGUGGGAAGAUAAUGACUGUACCACUAAAGGAAGUCCCGGCUAACUACGUGCCAGCAGCCGCGGUAAUACGGAGGGUGGAAGCGUUAUCCGGAAUUAUUGGGCGUAAAGAGUCCGUAGGUGGUUUUAUAAGUUAGAUGUCAAAGGCUUUAGCUCAACUAAAGUACGCAUCUAAUACUGUAGAACUAGAGAUCAGGAGAGGAAAGCGGAACUCACGGUGUAGCGGUGAAAUGCGUAGAUAUUGUGAGGAACACCAGUUGCGAAGGCGGCUUCCUGGACUGAAUCUGACGCUGAGGCGCGAAAGCGUGGGGAGCGAACGGGAUUAGAUACCCCGGUAGUCCACGCCGUAAACGGUGUUCACUAGGUGUAGGAGGUAUCGACCCCUUCUGUGCCACAGAUAAUUCGUUAAGUGAACCGCCUGGGAAGUACGACCGCAAGGUUAAAACUCAAAGAAAUUGACGGGGGCCCGCACAAGCAGUGGAGCAUGUGGUUUAAUUCGACCAUACGCGAAGAACCUCACCAGGGCUUGACAUCUACAGAAUUCCCUAGAGAUAGAGAAGUGCCCGCAAGGGAACUGUAAGACAGGUGGUGCAUGGCUGUCGUCAGCUCGUGUCGUGAGAUGUUGGGUUAAGUCCCGCAACGAGCGCAACCCCUAUCUUGUAUUGCCAGCACAUAAGGUGGGAACUCACAGGAGACUGCCCGUGGAAAGCGGGAGGAAGGUGGGGAUGACGUCAAGUCAUCAUGCCCCUUACGACCUGGGCUACACACAUGCUACAAUGGUCGGUACAAUGGGUAGCAAGACCGCGAGGUGGAGUAAAUCUCAUAAAACCAGUCUCAGUUCGGAUUGCAGUCUGCAACUCGACUGCAUGAAGUAGGAAUUGCUAGUAAACGCAGAUCAGCAAUGCUGCGUUGAAUACGUUCCCGGGCCUUGUACACACCGCCCGUCACACCAUGAGAGUCGGAGACACCCGAAGCCAACGAUUCAACCCUUUUUGGGAGAUAGUUGUCGAAGGUGGAGUUGGCGAUUGGGGUGAAGUCGUAACAAGGUAACC
RNAcentral lists this ribosomal RNA (1495 nucleotides) under uncultured prokaryote. Its description in RNAcentral is "partial 16S ribosomal RNA". It matches the Rfam family "Bacterial small subunit ribosomal RNA". The record is from RNAcentral.